UACGUAGGGUGCGAGCGUUGUCCGGAAUUAUUGGGCGUAAAGCGCUUGUAGGCGGUUUGUUGCGUCUGGUGUGAAAAUCCGGGGCUCAACCCCGGACUUGCAGUGGGUACGGGCAGACUAGAGUGUGGGAGGGGAGACUGGAAUUCCUGGUGUAGCGGUGAAAUGCGCAGAUAUCAGGAGGAACACCGAUGGCGAAGGCAGGUCGCUGGGCCACUACUGACGCUGAGAAGCGAAAGCAUGGGGAGCGAACAGG
This 253-nucleotide ribosomal RNA is filed under the name uncultured bacterium. Its description in RNAcentral is "partial 16S ribosomal RNA". It matches the Rfam family "Bacterial small subunit ribosomal RNA", at positions 524 to 776 of the family's 1533-position model. The record is from RNAcentral.